RNAcentral lists this ribosomal RNA (304 nucleotides) under Klebsiella variicola. RNAcentral's name for it is "partial 16S ribosomal RNA". It matches the Rfam family "Bacterial small subunit ribosomal RNA", at positions 1 to 299 of the family's 1533-position model. Lineage: Bacteria; Pseudomonadati; Pseudomonadota; Gammaproteobacteria; Enterobacterales; Enterobacteriaceae. The record is from RNAcentral.
ACUUAAAUUGAAGAGUUUGAUCAUGGCUCAGAUUGAACGCUGGCGGCAGGCCUAACACAUGCAAGUCGAGCGGUAGCACAGAGAGCUUGCUCUCGGGUGACGAGCGGCGGACGGGUGAGUAAUGUCUGGGAAACUGCCUGAUGGAGGGGGAUAACUACUGGAAACGGUAGCUAAUACCGCAUAACGUCGCAAGACCAAAGUGGGGGACCUUCGGGCCUCAUGCCAUCAGAUGUGCCCAGAUGGGAUUAGCUGGUAGGUGGGGUAACGGCUCACCUAGGCGACGAUCCCUAGCUGGUCUGAGAGG